RNAcentral lists this ribosomal RNA (496 nucleotides) under uncultured bacterium. RNAcentral describes it as "partial 16S ribosomal RNA". It matches the Rfam family "Bacterial small subunit ribosomal RNA", at positions 29 to 507 of the family's 1533-position model. The record is from RNAcentral.
AUGAACGCUGGCGGCGUGCCUCAUACAUGCAAGUCGAGCGAACGGACGAGAAGCUUGCUUCUCUGAUGUUAGCGGCGGACGGGUGAGUAACACGUGGAUAACCUACCUAUAAGACUGGGAUAACUUCGGGAAACCGUAGCUAAUACCGGAUAAUAUUUUGAACCGCAUGGUUCAAAAGUGAAAGACGGUCUUGCUGUCACUUAUAGAUGGAUCCGCGCUGCAUUAGCUAGUUGGUAAGGUAACGGCUUACCAAGGCAACGAUGCAUAGCCGACCUGAGAGGGUGAUCGGCCGCACUGGAACUGAGACACGGUCCAGACUCCUACGGGAGGCAGCAGUAGGGAAUCUUCCGCAAUGGGCGAAAGCCUGACGGAGCAACGCCGCGUGAGUGAUGAAGGUCUUCGGAUCGUAAAACUCUGUUAUUAGGGAAGAACAUAUGUGUAAGUAACUGUGCACAUCUUGACGGUACCUAAUCAGAAAGCCACGGCUAACUACGUG